UCAACAUGACUAUAAUAUCUGCUGUAGCCU
This 30-nucleotide non-coding RNA is filed under the name Mus musculus (house mouse). Lineage: Eukaryota; Metazoa; Chordata; Mammalia; Rodentia; Muridae. The record is from RNAcentral.